CAUGCAAGUCGAGCGGAUGAGUGGAGCUUGCUCCAUGAUUCAGCGGCGGACGGGUGAGUAAUGCCUAGGAAUCUGCCUGGUAGUGGGGGACAACGUUUCGAAAGGAACGCUAAUACCGCAUACGUCCUACGGGAGAAGCAGGGGACCUUCGGGCCUUGCGCUAUCAGAUGAGCCUAGGUCGGAUUAGCUAGUUGGUGAGGUAAUGGCUCACCAAGGCGACGAUCCGUAACUGGUCUGAGAGGAUGAUCAGUCACACUGGAACUGAGACACGGUCCAGACUCCUACGGGAGGCAGCAGUGGGGAAUAUUGGACAAUGGGCGAAAGCCUGAUCCAGCCAUGCCGCGUGUGUGAAGAAGGUCUUCGGAUUGUAAAGCACUUUAAGUUGGGAGGAAGGGCAUUAACCUAAUACGUUAGUGUUUUGACGUUACCGACAGAAUAAGCACCGGCUAACUUCGUGCCAGCAGCCGCGGUAAUACGAAGGGUGCAAGCGUUAAUCGGAAUUACUGGGCGUAAAGCGCGCGUAGGUGGUUUGUUAAGUUGUAUGUGAAAGCCCCGGGCUCAACCUGGGAACUGCAUCCAAAACUGGCAAGCUAGAGUAUGGCAGAGGGUGGUGGAAUUUCCUGUGUAGCGGUGAAAUGCGUAGAUAUAGGAAGGAACACCAGUGGCGAAGGCGACCACCUGGGCUAAUACUGACACUGAGGUGCGAAAGCGUGGGGAGCAAACAGGAUUAGAUACCCUGGUAGUCCACGCCGUAAACGAUGUCGACUAGCCGUUGGGAUCCUUGAGAUCUUAGUGGCGCAGCUAACGCAUUAAGUCGACCGCCUGGGGAGUACGGCCGCAAGGUUAAAACUCAAAUGAAUUGACGGGGGCCCGCACAAGCGGUGGAGCAUG
This 891-nucleotide ribosomal RNA is filed under the name Stutzerimonas stutzeri. Its description in RNAcentral is "bacterial SSU rRNA". It matches the Rfam family "Bacterial small subunit ribosomal RNA", at positions 54 to 941 of the family's 1533-position model. The record is from RNAcentral. Lineage: Bacteria; Pseudomonadati; Pseudomonadota; Gammaproteobacteria; Pseudomonadales; Pseudomonadaceae.